CAUAUGUAUAUACUUUGAAGGUCCAUCCUGGGCCGUGUUAAUUCAUAGUGAUGCCUUCUUCAUUGGAUUCCUCCCUUUAUAAAGCAACCCACGGAAAAUCCAUAUUAGGAAGGAACAUCAUGGAGGCCGCUUGCCGCAUAAGAGGCUGGAGCGGCAAAUUUGGUGUGGCUGAUCCUCCAUGCAAAGGCUGAGGUCCAACACUGACCGCAGGCAAGCCCCAUGGCAUUCACCGCUUGUCUACGUGUUGCUGGAGGAUGGCUCACAACAUGCGAAUCAUUUAGCUUAGAUUUUAAAUAAGGAGUCAUCCAUGGAGUCAUCAAAGAAGGGACCGAGACGUACACGGCCGCGGAUCAAGAACCGACCUGGCGAGAUGCCGUCUGCGGCACCUUAGGAGGAAAUGAGAAGCAUGGGGAACUCGAAGGGGGAAAAGGUUGAUUUUGCUACAGUUCUCUUGCCCGAUCCUCAUAGAAGAUAGACAGUCCACACUGAAAAGGGUGCAAUGAUGAGUUGAUACAGCAUAUUGGAAUGCCAGCUUCGGAAAUGGAAUAUAUGGUAUGAUCAUACAUUGAAAACAAGGCUGGAGCACCGCUGCAACUCAUGCUCAGCUAAUUUAAGCUCGAGUACCCCAAGCUGCAAUUCUUCAAAUAUCUUUGGCAUGUUUUGCUGAUGAAGUGCCUUUUGCUAGCCCAAAUCUGUUCUUAAAUAUUAUAUGCCUCCACCUUGAUGCCUUUGUGCUGUGCUCUCCGUGCAUUCCUAACAGAGUAUAAAUGGUUUUAGGAUUUAGGGUUGUAUAGUUCAUAUAUUCUUUAUGCAAAAAAUUCUACUGAUUAAUGACUUCAAUAUCGUGAGAAACACAUUUGUCUGCAAGGCUGGUACAUCAAGUGUAAAAUUAAUGACUCUUCUGGGUAUUGCUCUUUCUUA
Molecule: non-coding RNA, 921 nt
Organism: Lolium perenne
Lineage: Eukaryota; Viridiplantae; Streptophyta; Magnoliopsida; Poales; Poaceae
Source: RefSeq, a predicted model, not a curated record